CCUUGGUUAGCUCAGUUGGUAGAGCGCUCCACUGGAAAUGGGGAGGUCCCGGGUUUGAUACCCGGACCAGACA
RNAcentral lists this transfer RNA (73 nucleotides) under Ixodes scapularis (black-legged tick). It matches the Rfam family "tRNA". Rfam says of the family: Transfer RNA (tRNA) molecules are approximately 80 nucleotides in length. Their secondary structure includes four short double-helical elements and three loops (D, anti-codon, and T loops). Lineage: Eukaryota; Metazoa; Arthropoda; Arachnida; Ixodida; Ixodidae. The record is from Rfam by way of RNAcentral.